ACCUGGGGAUGGGGGGUGGUCAGAAGAGAAGCCGACCAGACCAUCAGCACCUGGCCCGACACCAGAUCAUUCAAAUCCGAAUGGCCCCGCCAUUGAGGAGGUUGUCUUUCAAAUAGCUCUCCUGGGAUUCUAAUAAACAGGGUUAAAUUCAUGUCUUGAAAGGAUUCCAUUGCCUAUCCUAAAUAAAGAUCAACUGUGGACCACAGCUGUUGGCUGUGAACACUGGCUGUAGGUCAUGUGUCUAAAAAUAACCAUUGCAGAUCCUAACCCAGUGUCUCCUUAGUUGUAAGGAUUAAAAGUGGAGAUACUAGGCUGUAGACAACAGAGCCUUGUAGGUAGGUGGUUGGUGUGUGUGUCAUGUCUCCUCAUACUAUUUGAAAGAUGAAAAGCAACUACUGAAUGACAAUCUCUGUAGUGACUUAAUUCCACUGAUGUGAUGUUUAGGUGGGUGGCUGGUUGCUAAAGACACGAAGGAUGUGAGUAGAUUUACUCGCAACUUAUGCAACAAUGACCAGGCAACUGAAAAAGUUAGAGAAUGGUCCCACUCAUCUUGCUUCCUACAAGGCCAGUCACAACCAUUCCACUGACAAACUAUAGGAAAAAAGCAAAAAUUAGAUGUGAGAGAUGUAUUCAACCGAAGUAAAAACGUAAUGGAUCUGUGGUAUUUUGAGGAAAUUCCUGAGACCAACAGAGAGGCACAGGGGGAAGGAUGAAUGAGAAUACUCUUAAGUCACAGGUACGGGAUAAAAAAUUUGUGAGCCUUUGUAGGUGACCUGAAAGUUAACAGUACUUUAUUGCUGUUUUCUACAAUCUGUAGGGCAAUAUUAAUAUUCACAGCAAAUUUAACAAGGAUUUGAAUACCUACUAUGUACUGUCCUAGUUAUUAUACCCCCAUACUAAAAUGUACCCAGUGUAAAUCCUUAAGAUUUCAUACAUUAGAAAUGGAUUUACAUGAGUCUGAACAAAGCAUUAGUCAUUUAACUUCAUACUGUAUUUAGACAUUUCUCUCAAGUAAAAAGCAUCCUAGCAGGUGAAUGAAAAAUGCUAACUGCAAUGGAAUGCUUGAAAUAACAAGUAGGGUCUUGAAAUAAAACUUUUAAGUUCUAAACAAAAAUCACAAGUUAAACUGGUGGCUUCUGAGGUCCUCCUCAGUGAACAUCUAAACAAAUUAUGCUAACAGUAAACAAUGCUAGCUGAAUACAGGUUUCUGAAUACUUCUAUUACUAUACAGUAAAUUUUUUUAUUAAGUUAAUGAAAGGAAGAAUUAGUAUUUCACAUUCCAGAGUUCAGAACUUAAAAGAUCUGGGAGAUAUUUACUAUUUACUUCUUAAAUGGCUCCAUUCUCAUUUUUAAAGAUAUCAACCAGCAGUCUGACUACUGGAAAACAAAUAAGUAGUUUGAAAGAAAGAUGAAAAGUGGUGGCCAAUUUAAUUAUUCAUCAUUAACGAAGAAAACACCAAAGUUUUGGAAGAGCACUUUACAAAACCUAGUGCCUAUCUCAAGUGUGAUGAAGCAUCAAGCACCGGUAUAUGGACCCGAUAAACCUACAGAUGAAAGUAAACAAGGGCAAGUUCAUGAAACCCCUUCAGGAAACUAUAGUAGACUGGAAAGAUAUCACAGAACGGUAUGGCGAAAGGCUUCUUGUUUGUUAAGACAACGCACAAGUAACUAGAUAUAGAAGGGAAAUGUAAUGAUCAGCUGAAAGCAAGCUAUGGACCCAAAUCAUAUUCCAGAAAUCCCUUUCCUCCUAUGUUGUUUCCAAACAAGAGGAUCAUUUGUACUUCUUGAGGCCAAGCUGAUUAGCAAAAGCAGAAUCUUAACAUACAGGAAACUUUUCAUCACAUAUUCAUCAAGGUCAAUUAUUUCAGUUAAGAACUGUACCACUUGUGUGAAAUAAUAGACUGUUAAAAUAGACACAAAGGUCUAAUAUAAAAGCUGUAACAACUACUUUCCAGUCUUGUCGGAUUGCCAAGUAUCAACUUCACUUUCACUAAAGCCACCUCGAAACCAAGUCUAUACUGUUUUUGGCGUAUAGAACUCUAUAAAGAGCACUGAACAUUUAAGAUACUAAGCUUGUCUAUAGUUGACAAUUUCAUACAAGUUCUAAUUUAAACUACCAUUUUUUUCCUUCUGGCUUCAAUCCCAAGAUGGUGUCCUUUCAAAGACAACUGGAUAAACGGAGAGGGUGGAAACUUUAAGACCUGCUUUCCUACCGCAUACUGCUCGCUCCCUUUCCUCCUGCCCAUCUUUAUGUUAUCAUAAAAGAAGCAGGUCUUGAGGGGAGGUAGCAAUGUUACAUCAGCUGUAUAACCUACAGUACACGACAAAUACUCUCCUCCUUUACUGAAAUAUGAACAUUUUCUCCAGAAUCUCCUGCACACUACCAAUCCUUUUGACAUCCACCCUGUAGGUUGCAUACUAAAAGGUAAAAAAAAAGUACAGUUCAAUAAAUAACCUUUUGCAAAAAUGUCUUAUUGCUAUAGUGAGAUUUCUAAUCUUCCAAAUUGGAAUAAAACUUAAGGUUUCAGCUCCCUGUGGGGCAACACAGCCAUUUCAUGCGACUGUUUUUAAUGUAGGUUUGGCAGUGGAUUGAAUGGCAUCAAGAAACCUUGCCUGUAACUUAAAGGAGUGUAGCAUGAGCUGAACAGGAAGCCUACCUUCCACUGGACAGAUGCUACACAUGGCAACUGAAAUAUUCCUACAAACUGUGCAGGACAGAGACUUCCCUGAAUUUAUCGUCACCUACCUGAAACUAGACCAUGCUUGUCUGGCCUCUUACAAUCAUAGCCUUUGUCUCACAGCCCUAACAGCAGCACACCGUGGAGUACAAACACCCCUGAAAGACAAAGGCCUCAUAAAACCCACAGAAAAGCUAUUCACUAACACUGGGACUACUUUUAGCCAUGCUAGUAGAGAUCACGCUUUAUUUUUGUGCAUCGUAAAUACAGAAAAAUGUUGAAAACGUAGGACUCAACUAUCUAAUUAAAGCUGAGUAAACUAACCUGGUCAGAUCUUAAUUUUUAAAUGAGAAAUGACAAGAGUAGUAAAUAUAAAGAAAAACAAAAAUAACUUUACUUUCCUAUGUUAAUACAGGUCAAGGGACCCUUUCUUCUGAAAAGGGUUGUUAACACCAGUUCUCAGCAAUAAACAUAAGGCACUUGUUUAGAAUACAACAUCACUGCAUUUUUUUCCCACUUGUUUUUCUAACCCUGUUUCCCCCCACAGUAUCAUUUGGAAUUAAUAGAGUGAAUGAGGCAAAUGUGGGAUGAUCCAGUCGAUACUACUCAGAGCAAGACAGUACAGUACAAUGUUUCGGGGGUGCUGUCUGGACAUAAAACGAACCCUGUCAAGGUCCUCUGACACCAGACAAUGUAUCCACUAUCAAGUAAACCUGAAAGAAAAUAAAAUAUUUAUUCAAUAGUUCCAGUAAAAUUGGGUCGGAGUACAAUAUACAUGUUAGGAAUUUUAGCUCCUCACGGGUGGAAUCUGCAUCAAGAGUUCUGAGUAUUUACGAAUUUUCAUUCUAAGACAGUCUACAUCAGUUGAACAUUGUCAAGACAAAUAUAUGAACUUCAUUUCAAUAUACAGUAGAGUUGAAACAGAAUUCACACAUAAACACCCCCUAUCGUAUGGCUGGUGCCUCCUCCCAACACCUCAGUAGUGGCAGAGGUAGCACUAGUGUUCUUUCCCAACAAUGAGAACUUCGGUUGCCACUCAUAGGAGAAGUUGAAAAAAAGUUUGUGGUGGUGGUGGGGUUUUUUUUGUUUGUUGUUUGCCAUCUGUGAAGAUGUUCCUGAGACAGGGCCAGUUAAUAAAACGGAACAAAGCACUGGAGUUCGGCUUGUACUUCUCUUUACAUCACUAAAUCGUUAGACCGGGACGCAGAAUGCAGGCCACGUACUAUGAAAGGUUGAGUUUAGCACAACUGUUCAAUCAGUAGAAGGAUCAGGUCUCCUGAAAAUUCCCUUUAGAAUAUAUGCCCUAGAAACUAAAAGUACCACAAAAAGAUCAAUCAUAUAUACAAUUGAUUCAUUUUACUUAAUCUUAUUUGCUCAGAUCUUGCAAACGCAACGAGGAUAUUGAGCCUGAGGCCAGUUCUCAGUAUACAGGUUUAUCAUCGUAAGGCUCAGUCUCUCCAUCAAAAUCGCAGUUCUCAGUUUCCUUUCAAAUUAGGAAAUUAGGAAUUACAUUCAUAGUACCUGCCACCAUCCUCGCCCUCAAGGAAAGGUUCAUGCAGGAGCAGCACUACACCUGCAUUACGGAGUCCCCUGACACCGGCACUCAGCCCGCAGCGAACGCAACCAUCUGCGCUCAUUUAACAGCACGUUACAUUGCCUCUGGCUUGCACCUCUGUUUCCACCUGUGUAUUUUCACAGAAGCCCAACACAGAUUAGUUGAAAUAUUCACACAACUGUUUUUCAAAACAAUUUAUUGCAUCAUAUUUGGUACCUUAUGUUUGACAACAAAAAGGAAAUUACAUCUGUAACUGCAGGAAAAAGAAGCUGGUCUGUUAUUGAAAAAAAAAAAUCUUGGGCCCUUUAAAAAUUACAAAGUCUUGGGCUUGCCUGAAACAACUGAGCAAGAAAUAUAUUCUUAGAAAUGUAGGGCUUCAAGUAUUACAAACCUGUGACACUGUGGAAAAAUUCCAGAGGUAUCUAAACUGCAGCACUUUUUUUCUGCAUAUCGUGAACAAGGCCUGCUGAGGUUUUUAACUAUUAGUCUCUUGAUCAGUCAUAGAAUGGUAGUCAGGAGUUCUGCUCUUUAACUUCAAGCCAUGGUAGAUUUUCUUUUUUCACUCUUGGGUGAAAAAAUUCAUGCGUGCUAAUUAGUUGGUGCCACAUCACAGUGCAUUUGGUUCUUGCAUUACAGUUUUAACAAGUUUGGCCAAAACAAUGCUGAAAGGUUUGCAUUGCUAUUUUAGUUCUUCAAGUUUUAGUUAAAAUUGAGAUUGUUCCAACUGGUUCCUUCAGUUAAAAACUGUGGUACAAGAACACCAAACUGAUCAUGUACAGUGAAUUUUGGAAACACAACAAGCAUAUUGAACACCCUCUAGGUUUCUUAGAAAUUCUGCUUGGUAUCUAUAUGUCCCAGCUUCUACAACAUCAAGCAUCUGUUGUAGGUUUCUCUGUAAAUAGUGAUUCACAUUGCAUACUUCCUAUGGUCAGAAUCAACCCCGUAACAAAAUCAGUCAGAUGCUAAAGCCCCAACAACUCUUUGUGCUCAGUGAAAGAAUCCAGUGCUAAAACAGCAUUUAUGCUGUCUGAGAUAUAGUAAAAUCUCACAAGACAAAUUUUAAAGUAAUAUUUCUGCCACACACCUGCUUUGUUAGCUGUAACAGCCUCCAGAUUUUAUAUAAAUUAGUUAAAAAACAUGGGUGGGUAGGUAGGAAUAGAAUAAGGUAUCUUUUUUUUAAUCCCUCAAUUUUAGCAGCUUUUAAUUUUUUAAGAAACUGAACCUAUAUCCUGUAAUACGUUAGAUAUUUUAUAUAUACUUUUUCAGCAGGAUAAAAAACGUAAAACACUAUUUGAAGGCAAGAACAUUUACUCUUCUCAUUCUGUGUAAGUUAGAGCAAUGCAGCAGGUGCGUGACAAAAAUAUUAUACACUAGAUAUGGUCCAAAGUCAUUCCAUUUGCUUGUUUAAUGAUGUUCAGAUUUCAUUGGCCAGUUCUUCAGUUUCUGCAGAACUAUCUCCAUUAACUGUGAUCUUCAUAUCCUCUUCAUAUCCAGGAGGCAUGAAAGCCAAAGCAUAAGGGAAAAGCUUAUGACAAUUUGCUCUAUAAACUUCAGCAGCUUCUUUACAGUCUCCUAGGCUACCAUCACACAAGGCUUCUAAUACCUCCAUACAUGUCUAAAGAAAGAGAAAAGGUAAUAUUAUAACUUGUCCAAAAACAAA
Long non-coding RNA from Acinonyx jubatus (cheetah), 5893 nucleotides. RefSeq lists it as uncharacterized. The record is from RefSeq and is a predicted model, not a curated record. Lineage: Eukaryota; Metazoa; Chordata; Mammalia; Carnivora; Felidae. The transcript has 2 exons.